Molecule: ribosomal RNA, 433 nt
Filed under: uncultured bacterium
Lineage: Bacteria
Description: partial 16S ribosomal RNA
Rfam family: Bacterial small subunit ribosomal RNA
Source: RNAcentral
AACGAACGCUGGCGGCAUGCCUAACACAUGCAAGUCGAACGAGACCUUCGGGUAUAGUGGCUCACUGGUGAGUAACGCGUGGGAACCUGCCCUUAGGUUCGGAAUAACUUCCCGAAAGGGGUUCUCAUACCGGAUCAUUUCUUCGUACCAAAGAUUUAUCGCCUUUGGAUGGGCCCGCGUUGGAUUAGCUAGUUGGUAGGGUAAAAGCGUACCAAGGCGACGAUCCAUAGCUGGUCUGAGAGGAUGAUCAGCCACACUGGGACUGAGACACGGCCCAGACUCCUACGGGAGGCAGCAGUGGGGAAUAUUGGACAAUGGGGGAAAGACUGAUGCAGCAAGGCCGCGUGAGUGAUGAAGGCGUUAGGGUUGUAAAGAUAUUUUACCCGGGAGGAUAAUGACAGUACCGGGAGAAUAAGCUCCGGCUAACUCCGUG